UAGAUUUAUGAGCUUUUGUUUGAUUACUAAGAUGUGUAGGGAAAUAAGGAGGGUUUAAUUUUUUUUUUUAAGGGAUUAUUAAGUGAUUUUAUUACUAUGUGUGGGGAGGUAAAAAAUGUUUGAUUGUUUUUCAUUAGAAGAUAAGAAGAUGAUUUUUUGCAAAAAUAUUAUAAAAAAAUAAGAUGAUUUUUUAUAUUCUUCAUUUAUUUUAUUAUCAAUUUCAUAUAUAAAAUCUUAAUCGCAUUGUUGUUAAUUCUAAUUCAUAUUUAUAUACGCAUUUUAGCUUAUAUUAUUAUUCGAAUAGUAUUCAAGUAUAUAUUCGAUUCACAUUCGAAUCCGAAAACAUAUUCAAUCGUAUUCGAAUCUAUUUUUUACCGCUAUGGUAAUAAAAUCUAUCAUCAAAAACAUAUUUGUA
Molecule: long non-coding RNA, 415 nt
Filed under: Ananas comosus (pineapple)
Lineage: Eukaryota; Viridiplantae; Streptophyta; Magnoliopsida; Poales; Bromeliaceae
Description: long non-coding RNA (ACOM_LNC027339)
Source: RNAcentral